GACGAACGCUGGCGGCGUGCUUAACACAUGCAAGUCGAGCGGUAAGGCCUUUCGGGGUCCACGAGCGGCGAACGGGUGAGUAAAACGGGGUUGAUCUGCCCUGCCCUUCGGGAUAAGCCGGGGAAACUGGGUCUAAUACCGGAUAUGACCUCCUAUCGCAUGGUGGGUGGGGGAAAGAUUUAUCGGUGCAGGAUGGGCCCGCGGCCUAUCAGCUUGUUGGUGGGGUAAUGGCCUACCAAGGCGACGACGGGUAGCCGACCUGAGAGGGUGACCGGCCACACUGGGACUGAGACACGGCCCAGACUCCUACGGGAGGCAGCAGUGGGGAAUAUUGCACAAUGGGCGAAAGCCUGAUGCAGCGACGCCGCGUGAGGGAUGACGGCCUUCGGGUUGUAAACCUCUUUCAGCAGGGACGAAGCGCAAGUGACGGUACCUGCAGAAGAAGCACCGGCUAACUACGUG
This 462-nucleotide ribosomal RNA is filed under the name uncultured bacterium. RNAcentral describes it as "partial 16S ribosomal RNA". It matches the Rfam family "Bacterial small subunit ribosomal RNA", at positions 28 to 507 of the family's 1533-position model. The record is from RNAcentral.